Molecule: ribosomal RNA, 253 nt
Filed under: uncultured Paracoccaceae bacterium
Lineage: Bacteria; Pseudomonadati; Pseudomonadota; Alphaproteobacteria; Rhodobacterales; Paracoccaceae
Description: uncultured Rhodobacteraceae bacterium partial 16S ribosomal RNA
Rfam family: Bacterial small subunit ribosomal RNA
Source: RNAcentral
UACGGAGGGGGCUAGCGUUAUUCGGAAUUACUGGGCGUAAAGCGCACGUAGGCGGACCAGAAAGUUGGGGGUGAAAUCCCGGGGCUCAACCCCGGAACUGCCCGGAAAACUCCUGGUCUUGAGUUCGAGAGAGGUGAGUGGAAUUCCGAGUGUAGAGGUGAAAUUCGUAGAUAUACGGAGGAACACCAGUGGCGAAGGCGGCUCACUGGUUCGAUACUGACGCUGAGGUGCGAAAGCGUGGGGAGCAAACAGG